RNAcentral lists this ribosomal RNA (470 nucleotides) under Leptothrix sp. oral taxon 026. RNAcentral's name for it is "bacterial SSU rRNA". It matches the Rfam family "Bacterial small subunit ribosomal RNA", at positions 29 to 494 of the family's 1533-position model. Lineage: Bacteria; Pseudomonadati; Pseudomonadota; Betaproteobacteria; Burkholderiales; Sphaerotilaceae. The record is from RNAcentral.
AUUGAACGCUGGCGGCAUGCUUUACACAUGCAAGUCGAACGGCAGCGCGGGCUUCGGCCUGGCGGCGAGUGGCGAACGGGUGAGUAAUGCAUCGGAACGUGCCCAGUAGUGGGGGAUAGCCCGGCGAAAGCCGGAUUAAUACCGCAUACGACCUGAGGGUGAAAGCGGGGGACCGAAAGGCCUCGCGCUAUUGGAGCGGCCGAUGUCGGAUUAGCUAGUUGGUGGGGUAAAGGCUUACCAAGGCGACGAUCCGUAGCUGGUCUGAGAGGACGACCAGCCACACUGGGACUGAGACACGGCCCAGACUCCUACGGGAGGCAGCAGUGGGGAAUUUUGGACAAUGGGGGCAACCCUGAUCCAGCCAUGCCGCGUGCGGGAAGAAGGCCUUCGGGUUGUAAACCGCUUUUGUUCGGGAAGAAAUCCUCUGGGCUAAUACCCCGGAGGGAUGACGUACCGGAAGAAUAAGCACC